GACGAACGCUGGCGGCGUGCUUAACACAUGCAAGUCGAACGGAAAGGCCUGCUUUCCCUUGUGGAUUGCGGGUACUCGAGUGGCGAACGGGUGAGUAACACGUGAGUGAUCUGCCCCCAACUUUGGUAUAAGCCUGGGAAACUGGGUCUAAUUCCCGAUAGGACUGCAGGGGGUUGCCGUUGGUGGAAAACGAUUUUUUAGUGGUUGGGGCUGAGCUCGCGGCCUAUCAGCUUGUUGGUGGGGUAAUGGCCUACCAAGGCGGCGACGGGUAGCCGGCCGGAGAGGGUGGACGGCCACAUUGGGACUGAGAUACGGCCCAGACUCCUACGGGAGGCAGCAGUGGGGAAUAUUGCACAAUGGGCGGAAGCCUGAUGCAGCGACGCCGCGUGGGGGAUGACGGCCUUCGGGUUGUAAACUCCUUUCGACCGCGAGGAAGCCACCUGGUUGGAAGGGUGGUGACGGUAGUGGUAGAAGAAGCACCGGCUAACUACGUG
Molecule: ribosomal RNA, 494 nt
Filed under: uncultured bacterium
Lineage: Bacteria
Description: partial 16S ribosomal RNA
Rfam family: Bacterial small subunit ribosomal RNA
Source: RNAcentral